Molecule: long non-coding RNA, 2168 nt
Organism: Oryctolagus cuniculus (rabbit)
Lineage: Eukaryota; Metazoa; Chordata; Mammalia; Lagomorpha; Leporidae
Source: Ensembl
GCCCUCCGCCCCGAAAUCGGCCAGUGAAGUGCGCCCGUGGGUGCCCCCUUCCUCGCCUCCCCGUCACGUGUGCGCUCGGUGGUCGCGAGAGCUCUGUCUGUGUGCUGAUUGACGCCUGACUGUGAGUGAGGGUGGGGGCCAAGGUGUGUCCGGGUUCCCACCUGUCACGCCGGAGACGGCCCGUGGAUGCUCGUGGAAUGAAUGAAGAACACGCGUGGAGCUGCUCUGUGCGGUGCGGCGGUCGUGGGCCGCCCUCCGAGCGUGCCUCCACGGGAGGACGCGGCCGCGCACUGAAGCCCCGUGCCGCGCUGUCCCCGCGGGCUGCCCGGUCCACGGUCCCGGGUGGUGGGAUCCCGCUGGCUUCCCGGCCCCGGCCCCGGCUUGUGCCAUCCCGCGGGCUUCCCGGCCCACAGCCCCGGGUCGUGCGAUGCCGCGGGCUUCCCAGUCCACGGUCCCCAGUUGUGCCAUCCCGCGGGCUUCCUGGCCCACGACCCCGGGUCGUGCGAUCCCGCGGGCUUCCCGGUCCACGGUCCCCAGUUGUGCCAUCCCGCGGGCUUCCCGGCCCACGGCCCCGGCUUGUGCCAUCCCACAGGCUUCCCGGCCCACAGCCCUGGCUUAUGCCAUCCCGCGGGCUUCCCAGUCCACAGUCCCCAGUUGUGCCAUCCCGCGGGCUUCGUGGCCCACGGGCCCCGGCUUGUGCCAUCCGCGGGCUUCACGGGCCCACGGCCCCGGCUUGUGCCAUCCCACGGGCUUCCCGGUGCACGGCCCCGGGUUGUGCCAUCCCAUGGGCUUCCCGGCCCACAGCCCCGGGUCGUGCGAUGCCGCGGGCUUCCUGGUCCACGGUCCCCAGUUGUGCCAUCCCGCGGGCUUCCUGGCCCACGACCCCGGCUUGUGCCAUCCUAUGGGCUUCCCGCUCCACGGUCCCCAGUUGUGCCAUCCCGUGGGCUUCACGGCCUCGGCUUGUGCCAUCCUGCGGGCUUCCUGGCCCACGGCCCCGGCUUGUGCCAUCCCGCAGGCUUCCCAGUCCAUUGUCCCCAGUUGUGCCAUUCCGCGGGCUUCCCGGUGCACGGACCCUGGUUGUGCCAUCCCACGGGCUUCCCGGCGCACAGCCCCGGGUUGUGCCAUCCCAUGGGCUUCCCGGCCCACAGCCCCGGGUCGUGCGAUCCCGCUGGCUUCCCGGUCCGCGGUCCCCGGUCCCCGGUUGUGCCAUCCCGCGGGCUUCCUGGUCCACAGCCCCGGCUUGUGCCAUCCCACGGGCUUCCCGGUCCACGGUCCCGGGUUGUGCCAUCCGGCGGGCUUCCUGGUCCACGGUCCCGGGUUGUGCCAUCCCGUGGGCUUCCCGGUCCACGGCCCCGGGUCGUGCGAUCCCGCAGGCUUCCUGGCCCACGGCCCCGGGUUGUGCGAUCCCCAGGCUUCCUGGGCCAUGGUCCGGGGUUGCGCAGCCACAGGGACGCGCGGCGGGCACCGCGACCUCGGGCGAUUUCUGGGCGGACAUCUAGAGGGUGCUGACCCAGCGGUUCAGGCUGCUGCUACCUGAGGUGCACCCUCUGCGAGGUGGACACAUUGGCCACCGGCAGCCGAAGGGGAACAUGUUUGGGCUUACAAAAAAGACAGCCAGCCAAGGGCACAGCCCAGACAGCAGACAAGGGAGGAGUCGGGGUGACGCGUGACGCCUCUCACUGGGUCUUGGCGCGUCAGCAUCUGAGGAGAGUGGGGAGGUUCUCGGGUUCUGACGAGGGGGCCAGCGUGCGCUCGAACCUGGGCUGGGCACAGGGACGCUUUCAUCCGCGCAGUGCUCGGUGGGGUCCGCCGCCACACUGUGUGCCCUUGGGCCGUGACUUCCCCUCUCUGGCCUCAGUGCCCUCACCUGUACACACACGGAGGCUAAAGUCAGUUCCUGGGGCAGGCGUGCAGCACGCCACAUCCCAUCUGAGUGCUGAAGCCAGCAUUGCCAAGGCACGCGCUGCAGGACAGCCGAUGGUAGCUCACGCGCUGCCUUCCCUGUCACCCACGCGGGAGGAAGACCAGAACUGAGGCCCAGGUGCCCGGUUUCAGCUUGACUCUGGCUGUCGGAGGCAUUUGGGAAGUGAACCAGUGGAUGCAGAAGUCUGUCUCUGUGUCUCUGCCUUUCAAAUAAAUAACAGAUCAGUUAAAAUUAAAAAAAAAUC